ACGCGAAGAACCUUACCAAGGCUUGACAUGCACCGGACGACUGCAGAGAUGUGGUUUCCCUUUGUGGCUGGUGCACAGGUGGUGCAUGGUUGUCGUCAGCUCGUGUCGUGAGAUGUUGGGUUAAGUCCCGCAACGAGCGCAACCCUCGUUCCAUGUUGCCAGCACGUGAUGGUGGGGACUCAUGGGAGACUGCCGGGGUCAACUCGGAGGAAGGUGGGGAUGACGUCAAAUCAUCAUGCCCCUUAUGUCUUGGGCUUCACGCAUGCUACAAUGGCCGGUACAGAGGGUUGCGAGACCGUGAGGUGGAGCGAAUCCCUUAAAGCUGGUCUCAGUUCGGAUUGGGGUCUGCAACUCGACCCUAUGAAGUUGGAGUCGCUAGUAAUCGCAGAUCAGCAACGCUGCGGUGAAUACGUUCCCGGGC
RNAcentral lists this ribosomal RNA (421 nucleotides) under Demetria terragena. RNAcentral's name for it is "bacterial SSU rRNA". It matches the Rfam family "Bacterial small subunit ribosomal RNA", at positions 959 to 1379 of the family's 1533-position model. Lineage: Bacteria; Bacillati; Actinomycetota; Actinomycetes; Micrococcales; Dermacoccaceae. The record is from RNAcentral.